This 415-nucleotide ribosomal RNA is filed under the name Microcondylaea bonellii. RNAcentral's name for it is "Unio bonellii partial 28S ribosomal RNA". Lineage: Eukaryota; Metazoa; Mollusca; Bivalvia; Unionida; Unionidae. The record is from RNAcentral.
UGGACCCGCAAUGACGUCGACCCGGGGGAUUCAACCAGGCCGUUGCGAUCGGGACGCGUGGGGGUUAUGCGGAGCUGUAAAGCCCGUGCCUCUGCGUGGGUCUCCGGGCGGACUGGUGCACUUUCCUCGGGUUGAUUGCCACGACCGGCUCUCCGUGCGGCCACAAGCCUGUCGCUGGGAAGGUGACCGUGGGCUCCGCGCCCGCGGUGUUAUAGACCAGCUUGCUGGUUGAGCUCGUCGGAGGGCCGAGGAAGUUGCCGUUUCUCAUCACCCUCUGGCCAUCCUUGCUCGUCACGACUGGGGUGAACUGCUUCGUCAGUGCUCUCCCGACCGCGAGCGUAGGAAGGGCUGGUACGGUGCGAGAAUUGCUUCGGGCCAGUGGCGAAUCGGUCGGUCCUCCACCCGACCCGUCUUG